Molecule: ribosomal RNA, 468 nt
Filed under: uncultured bacterium
Lineage: Bacteria
Description: partial 16S ribosomal RNA
Rfam family: Bacterial small subunit ribosomal RNA
Source: RNAcentral
GACGAACGCUGGCGGCGUGCUUAACACAUGCAAGUCGAACGGAAAGGCCCUGCUUUUGUGGGGUGCUCGAGUGGCGAACGGGUGAGUAACACGUGAGUAACCUGCCCUUGACUUUGGGAUAACUUCAGGAAACUGGGGCUCAUACCGGAUAGGAUCUCCUGCUGCAUGGUGGGGGUUGGAAAGUUUCGGCGGUUGGGGAUGGACUCGCGGCUUAUCAGCUUGUUGGUGGGGUAGUGGCUUACCAAGGCUUUGACGGGUAGCCGGCCUGAGAGGGUGACCGGCCACAUUGGGACUGAGAUACGGACCAGACUCCUACGGGAGGCAGCAGUGGGGAAUAUUGCACAAUGGGCGGAAGCCUGAUGCAGCAACGCCGCGUGCGGGAUGACGGCCUUCGGGGUGUAAACCGCUUUCGCCUGUGACGAAGCGUGAGUGACGGUAAUGGGUAAAGAAGCACCGGCUAACUACGUG